CUCACACUGCUCAAACCACCACGAAAAAAACACCUUAAGCUACAUUGGCGAACCCAUAAUCUUAAAGUUCCACAGUUACAUGUGAAGAAUUUAUGUCCAGGAGAAGCGACUGGUUCGUUUUCCCCAGAGCUCAGGAACGGUGAUGAUCGUAAAGAAUUACUGGUGUCUGAUCCCGAAUCUUUGCAAGAUGGAACACCUAAAGCCUUCCGACAAUUGGGUACUGUUGAAAAGACUACCGCAUAGCUGUUUUUUCCCCUAGCAUAUAUCACCAGACUCCAUUCAGUAGGUGAUCACGAUGAACCUUCAUGCUCAAUUUAUCUGUGAAUUCUUGAAAGAGGUUCAAGAGCACGAUGAACCUUCAUGCUCCUAGAGUAAUCUUACAGAGUUCUCCAUGUCGUUACCAAUUCCUAAUACUCUUGCUUGAACCAAGUACAUGGAGUAUGUUCUGGAAUGAGACUCAAGAACUUUCUCUAGAGUUCACGGCUGGGAGACAUUGUUGUGGCGGAUCAUGUGGUUUUUCGCCAACGAUGGAAAGGUGAAGAAGUACCCAGUCAUUCAUCUCCCAAGGAGAAGCGGUUUUAAGAGGCUAUGAUCUCAAAACCAGAACCUGGGGAAAAAGAUAACUUGGAGAUUAAAGCAGUGGGAACAACGGAGGAACGUAA
Molecule: long non-coding RNA, 662 nt
Organism: Raphanus sativus (radish)
Lineage: Eukaryota; Viridiplantae; Streptophyta; Magnoliopsida; Brassicales; Brassicaceae
Exons: 5
Source: RefSeq, a predicted model, not a curated record